UGUAAAUUUGUAAACGAAAAGAGGAUGGGGGCGAAGCAUCCCUUCUUUCUCUUAAAAAACACACACACACACCCCUUUCUCUUUGUCUCUUUCACUGUUUUCAACAUCCGCCAGAAUAUUUACCCACCCUCACUCGAAGGUCUGGAUUUUGACGGUGUUGGGGAAGUAGCCGGAGAAGUUUGCAGGCGAGGGCUGCCUAAGCACACACUCGCCUCGCCCCCCACCCACCCCUCUUUCAAGCAAAACACAUGUCACACAUGUGUUCUUUCGCCUCCUUUUGAAAAAGCACCCGCUCGGCCUCCCUCUCGCUCGCUCUGCCAACCUGAGCGCAAAAAAAGGGGGGGGAUCCCCUUUCCUUCCCCGGCGAGCGAGACCCUCGAAUCGCGCGCGGGGGGGGGCGGCCCACGUGAGGCAGGCGAAAAAGAACCCCCCCCCCACGACCCGCCUCCCGCGAUUGGCUGGCCCGGCUCGGCCCGGGAAAUUUCUCCCGGAGACCCAUUGGCUGAAGAGCCCCCCGCCGGGCUCCUUCCCUGCCCAUUUUGUUAAUCCUCUGCCUCGCCUCGCCUCGCCCAGCUGCUUGGUGGGGACGAGCUCAUUUGUCACCGAAGCGCCCCGCGUCCAGGCAGGUCGGGAUGGCAAGCGAUCCCCCGGCCCGGUGCCAGCUGCCCCCGCCUGCUUAGAGCCCCGGCGGGGAAGCUCUCUCUCCUUCGGUGCUUUGCCUCCUUCCACGGCUCGGAACAGCGAGCCGCGGAGCCAAGCAGGGGCCGCCCGGCCGCCCAAUUCCCGGUGGGGCAAGGAAGUGCCAGCCCUUGGAGCCCAGCAGUCGCUCCUGCUUGCGCGCAACUUUUCUGCGGGGGAGGGGGGACGGGACGGGCGGCGCGUCCCUGGCUUCUCCCGCGCCCUGGUGGGGCAUGUGGACAUGGCCACCGGGGACAGGAGCCCGGGGGUCUCCGUCUUCUUCGGGUGCCGGCGGCGCGUCGGGCUCCUGCUGCUCGCCGCCACCGCCGGCCUCUGCAGCGGGGUCUGGGCCGUCAAGAAUCCUAGCUGCCACGAAGUGAGGACGGCGUUUCAGAUCCGGCAGAUCGGGCCCCUCAAGCUGGUCCCCGAUGUGCCCACCACCGUUCCUUCUCAUGUAGGUAAAGAAGAUCAGGAACAAGAAUGUAUGGCUCACCAAGUGUUGCAGGAUAGUACCCCAUGUAGGGGGUGUUACAGUAAUCAAUCUUGGAGAUCACCAACGCAUGUACGAAUAUUGUUA
RNAcentral lists this long non-coding RNA (1255 nucleotides) under Pogona vitticeps (central bearded dragon). RNAcentral's name for it is "lncRNA (ENSPVIG00000015578.1)". Lineage: Eukaryota; Metazoa; Chordata; Lepidosauria; Squamata; Agamidae. The record is from RNAcentral.